UGGGAGUGCAGCACCAGGGGAAAGCUCAGCUAGCGGAGCAGCAGACUGUAGACUUCCCUUCAGCUCCGAAGCCUCAAUCUACAGCGGCACUAGACAUAGGACUUUGAGGCUCCACCAAAGGAUUCUGCGCACAGAGAGCUUGGAUUGAGAGGACAUUUCUUAAAAGAGAAUGUGUUCACAUAUUUCCCAGCAAGGACCCAACCAGAUGUGCCUGUGG
Molecule: long non-coding RNA, 217 nt
Organism: Melanotaenia boesemani (Boeseman's rainbowfish)
Lineage: Eukaryota; Metazoa; Chordata; Actinopteri; Atheriniformes; Melanotaeniidae
Exons: 3
Source: RefSeq, a predicted model, not a curated record